Molecule: ribosomal RNA, 999 nt
Filed under: uncultured bacterium
Lineage: Bacteria
Description: bacterial SSU rRNA
Rfam family: Bacterial small subunit ribosomal RNA
Source: RNAcentral
UCGAGGGGCAGCACGAUGUAGCAAUACAUGGGUGGCGACCGGCGCACGGGUGCGUAACACGUAUGGAACUUGCCCUUUACUGGGGGAUAGCCCGGAGAAAUCCGGAUUAAUACCCCAUAACAAGCGGAGUGGCAUCACUCUGCUUUGAAAGCUCCGGCGGUAAAGGAUGGCCAUGCGCCCGAUUAGCUAGUUGGUGAGGUAACGGCUCACCAAGGCUAUGAUCGGUAGGGGGCCUGAGAGGGUUAUCCCCCACACUGGUACUGAGACACGGACCAGACUCCUACGGGAGGCAGCAGUGAGGAAUAUUGCGCAAUGGAGGCAACUCUGACGCAGCCAUGCCGCGUGCAGGAAGAAGGCGCUACGCGUUGUAAACUGCUUUUAUCCGGGAAGAAACCCCUCGACGUGUCGAGGGUUGACGGUACCGGAGGAAUAAGCACCGGCUAACUUCGUGCCAGCAGCCGCGGUAAUACGAAGGGUGCAAGCGUUAUCCGGAUUCAUUGGGUUUAAAGGGUGCGUAGGCGGAGCGUUAAGUCAGUGGUGAAAUCCUGCAGCUCAACUGUAGACUUGCCAUUGAUACUGGCGCUCUUGAGUGCGCUUGAAGUAGGCGGAAUGUGCCGUGUAGCGGUGAAAUGCUUAGAUAUGGCACAGAACACCAAUUGCGAAGGCAGCUUACUAAGGCGAUACUGACGCUGAGGCACGAAAGCGUGGGGAUCGAACAGGAUUAGAUACCCUGGUAGUCCACGCCGUAAACGAUGAUCACUCGUCAUUGGCGAUACACUGUCAGUGACCUAGCGAAAGCGUUAAGUGAUCCACCUGGGGAGUACGAUCGCAAGAUUGAAACUCAAAGGAAUUGACGGGGGCCCGCACAAGCGGUGGAGCAUGUGGUUUAAUUCGAUGAUACGCGAGGAACCUUACCAGGGCUCGAACGCACGUAGACAGUCGCGGAAACGUGAUCUUCUUCGGACUGCGUGCGGGUGCUGCAUGGCUGUCGUCAGCUCG